Molecule: non-coding RNA, 29 nt
Filed under: Mus musculus (house mouse)
Lineage: Eukaryota; Metazoa; Chordata; Mammalia; Rodentia; Muridae
Source: RNAcentral
UAGAACUCGGUGUCAAUGGUGGCCUCAUC